GACGAACGCUGGCGGCGUGCCUAAUACAUGCAAGUAGAACGCACAGUUUAUACCGUAGCUUGCUACACCAUAGACUGUGAGUUGCGAACGGGUGAGUAACGCGUAGGUAACCUGCCUGGUAGCGGGGGAUAACUAUUGGCAACGAUAGCUAAUACCGCAUAAUAUUGAUUAUUGCAUGAUAAUUAAUUGAAAGGUGCAAUUGCACCACUACCAGAUGGACCUGCGUUGUAUUAGCUAGUAGGUGAGGUAACGGCUCACCUAGGCGACGAUACAUAGCCGACCUGAGAGGGUGAUCGGCCACACUGGGACUGAGACACGGCCCAGACUCCUAAGGGACGCAGCAGUAGCGAAUCUUCGGCAAUGGACGAAAGUCUGACCGAGCAACGCCGCGUGAGUGAAGAAGGGUUUCGGAUCGUAAAGCUCUGUUGUAAGAGAAGAGCGGGUGUGAGAGUGGAAAGUUCACACUGUGACGGUAUCUUACCAGAAAGGGACGGCUAACUACGUG
This 505-nucleotide ribosomal RNA is filed under the name uncultured bacterium. Its description in RNAcentral is "partial 16S ribosomal RNA". It matches the Rfam family "Bacterial small subunit ribosomal RNA", at positions 28 to 507 of the family's 1533-position model. The record is from RNAcentral.